UACGGGAGGCAGCAGUGGGGAAUAUUGCACAAUGGGCGCAAGCCUGAUGCAGCCAUGCCGCGUGUAUGAAAAAGGCCUUCGGGUUGUAAAGUACUUUCAGUCGUGAGGAAGGUGUUAAGGUUAAUAACCUUAGCAAUUGACGUUAGCGACAGAAGAAGCACCGGCUAACUCCGUGCCAGCAGCCGCGGUAAUACGGAGGGUGCGAGCGUUAAUCGGAAUUACUGGGCGUAAAGGGCACGCAGGCGGUUAAUUAAGUUGGAUGUGAAAUCCCCGGGCUUAACCUGGGAAUGGCAUUCAAGCUGGUUAGCUAGAGUCUUGUAGAGGGGGUAGAAUUCCAUGUGUAGCGGUGAAAUGCGUAGAGAUGUGGAGGAAUACCGGUGGCGAAGGCGGCCCCUGGACAAAGACUGACGCUCAUGUGCGAAAGCGUGGGGAGCAAACGAGGAUUAGAUACC
Molecule: ribosomal RNA, 452 nt
Filed under: uncultured bacterium
Lineage: Bacteria
Description: bacterial SSU rRNA
Rfam family: Bacterial small subunit ribosomal RNA
Source: RNAcentral